GGGGGAAACCCUGAUGCAGCGACGCCGCGUGAAGGAAGAAGUAUUUCGGUAUGUAAACUUCUAUCAGCAGGGAAGAAGAUGACGGUACCUGAGUAAGAAGCACCGGCUAAAUACGUGCCAGCAGCCGCGGUAAUACGUAUGGUGCAAGCGUUAUCCGGAUUUACUGGGUGUAAAGGGAGCGUAGACGGAUAGGCAAGUCUGGAGUGAAAACCCAGGGCUCAACCUUGGGACUGCUUUGGAAACUGCAGAUCUGGAGUGCCGGAGAGGUAAGCGGAAUUCCUAGUGUAGCGGUGAAAUGCGUAGAUAUUAGGAGGAACACC
RNAcentral lists this ribosomal RNA (320 nucleotides) under uncultured bacterium. Its description in RNAcentral is "bacterial SSU rRNA". It matches the Rfam family "Bacterial small subunit ribosomal RNA", at positions 373 to 710 of the family's 1533-position model. The record is from RNAcentral.